This 332-nucleotide unclassified non-coding RNA is filed under the name soil metagenome. RNAcentral describes it as "partial contains 5.8S ribosomal RNA, internal transcribed spacer 2, and large subunit ribosomal RNA". The stretch from base 1 to 120 matches the Rfam family "5.8S ribosomal RNA", at positions 35 to 154 of the family's 154-position model. The record is from RNAcentral.
GAUGAAGAACGUAGCAAAAUGCGAUAAGUAAUGUGAAUUGCAGAAUUCAGUGAAUCAUCGAAUCUUUGAACGCACAUUGCGCCCGCCAGUAUUCUGGCGGGCAUGCCUGUUCGAGCGUCAUUUCAACCCUCAAGGACAGCUUGGUGUUGGGACUCGCGUUAAUUCGCGUUCCUCAAAUUGAUUGGCGGUCACGUCGAGCUUCCAUAGCGUAGUAGUAAAACCCUCGUUACUGGUAAUCGUCGCGGCCACGCCGUUAAACCCCAACUUCUGAAUGUUGACCUCGGAUCAGGUAGGAAUACCCGCUGAACUUAAGCAUAUCAAUAAGCGGAGGA